RNAcentral lists this ribosomal RNA (302 nucleotides) under uncultured soil bacterium. RNAcentral describes it as "bacterial SSU rRNA". It matches the Rfam family "Bacterial small subunit ribosomal RNA", at positions 26 to 356 of the family's 1533-position model. The record is from RNAcentral.
AGAACGAACGCUGGCGGCAUGCCUAAUACAUGCAAGUCGAACGAAGGCUUCGGCCUUAGUGGCGCACGGGUGCGUAACGCGUGGGAAUCUGCCCCUUGGUUCGGAAUAACAGUUGGAAACGACUGCUAAUACCGGAUGAUGACGAAAGUCCAAAGAUUUAUCGCCAAGGGAUGAGCCCGCGUAGGAUUAGCUAGUUGGUGAGGUAAAGGCUCACCAAGGCGACGAUCCUUAGCUGGUCUGAGAGGAUGAUCAGCCACACGUGGGACUGAGACACGGCCCAGACUCCUACGGGAGCAGCAGUA